This is a transfer RNA of 95 nucleotides. It matches the Rfam family "tRNA". From Rfam's summary of the family: Transfer RNA (tRNA) molecules are approximately 80 nucleotides in length. Their secondary structure includes four short double-helical elements and three loops (D, anti-codon, and T loops). Further hydrogen bonds mediate the characteristic L-shaped molecular structure. tRNAs have two regions of fundamental functional importance: the anti-codon, which is responsible for specific mRNA codon recognition, and the 3' end, to which the tRNAs corresponding amino acid is attached (by aminoacyl-tRNA synthetases). tRNAs cope with the degeneracy of the genetic code in two manners: having more than one tRNA (with a specific anti-codon) for a particular amino acid; and 'wobble' base-pairing, i.e. permitting non-standard base-pairing at the 3rd anti-codon position.
GGGUGACUAGUAUAGUGGUCAGUACACUUCGUUGUGGAUUUUCUUCCGAGAAAUCAACUUCCGAAGAAACCCAGGUUCGAUUCCUGGGUCGCCCA